RNAcentral lists this ribosomal RNA (779 nucleotides) under Streptomyces anulatus. RNAcentral's name for it is "bacterial SSU rRNA". It matches the Rfam family "Bacterial small subunit ribosomal RNA", at positions 22 to 818 of the family's 1533-position model. The record is from RNAcentral. RNAcentral also lists the same sequence under 2 other names. Lineage: Bacteria; Bacillati; Actinomycetota; Actinomycetes; Kitasatosporales; Streptomycetaceae.
GCUCAGGACGAACGCUGGCGGCGUGCUUAACACAUGCAAGUCGAACGAUGAAGCCUUUCGGGGUGGAUUAGUGGCGAACGGGUGAGUAACACGUGGGCAAUCUGCCCUUCACUCUGGGACAAGCCCUGGAAACGGGGUCUAAUACCGGAUAACACUCUGUCCCGCAUGGGACGGGGUUAAAAGCUCCGGCGGUGAAGGAUGAGCCCGCGGCCUAUCAGCUUGUUGGUGGGGUAAUGGCCUACCAAGGCGACGACGGGUAGCCGGCCUGAGAGGGCGACCGGCCACACUGGGACUGAGACACGGCCCAGACUCCUACGGGAGGCAGCAGUGGGGAAUAUUGCACAAUGGGCGAAAGCCUGAUGCAGCGACGCCGCGUGAGGGAUGACGGCCUUCGGGUUGUAAACCUCUUUCAGCAGGGAAGAAGCGAAAGUGACGGUACCUGCAGAAGAAGCGCCGGCUAACUACGUGCCAGCAGCCGCGGUAAUACGUAGGGCGCAAGCGUUGUCCGGAAUUAUUGGGCGUAAAGAGCUCGUAGGCGGCUUGUCACGUCGGAUGUGAAAGCCCGGGGCUUAACCCCGGGUCUGCAUUCGAUACGGGCUAGCUAGAGUGUGGUAGGGGAGAUCGGAAUUCCUGGUGUAGCGGUGAAAUGCGCAGAUAUCAGGAGGAACACCGGUGGCGAAGGCGGAUCUCUGGGCCAUUACUGACGCUGAGGAGCGAAAGCGUGGGGAGCGAACAGGAUUAGAUACCCUGGUAGUCCACGCCGUAAACGUUGGGAACUA